ACGCAUCAUAGUUUUUGAGAUAAGCGGUUUCCGCCGGGAGAUCGACUUCAAUGGUCCGCUGAACGCACUCAUACAGA
Molecule: transfer RNA, 77 nt
Filed under: Pararhodospirillum photometricum DSM 122
Lineage: Bacteria; Pseudomonadati; Pseudomonadota; Alphaproteobacteria; Rhodospirillales; Rhodospirillaceae
Description: tRNA-Arg
Source: RNAcentral